RNAcentral lists this ribosomal RNA (252 nucleotides) under uncultured bacterium. Its description in RNAcentral is "partial 16S ribosomal RNA". It matches the Rfam family "Bacterial small subunit ribosomal RNA", at positions 524 to 776 of the family's 1533-position model. The record is from RNAcentral.
UACGUAGGGAGCGAGCGUUGUCCGGAUUUACUGGGCGUAAAGCGCGUUCAGGCGGUUUGGCAAGUCGGGCAUGAAAUCUCUCGGCUAACCGGGAGAGGUUGUCCGAUACUUCCAGACUUGAGGGCAGUAGAGGGUGGUGGAAUUCCGGGUGUAGUGGUGAAAUGCGUAGAUAUCCGGAGGAACACCAGUGGCGAAAGCGGCCACCUGGACUGCACCUGACGCUGACACGCGAAAGCUAGGGGAGCGAACGGG